This is a long non-coding RNA of Ahaetulla prasina, 3008 nucleotides long. RefSeq lists it as uncharacterized. NCBI's taxonomy places the organism in Eukaryota, Metazoa, Chordata, Lepidosauria, Squamata, Colubridae. The transcript is spliced from 5 exons. The record is from RefSeq and is a predicted model, not a curated record.
UUAGAGUAACCCAAUGCAUGCAGUAAAUUUAGGAAAUGCAGGGGUUAAAAGGGAUGGAGAUUGGCGGUCAGAGGUUAAGAGAGUUUAACUCCAGCAACUAAUUGGGGGCUGGAGCUCAAGAUGGCGAUGGGGAGAUAUAAUUCCGUGGAGUGGCGUCUCCAGGUGGAAAUAAGAAGCCAAGAGUUUACAGAAUUUUCUUCUUCCCUGAUAGAGAACGCCUGCCUCCCACUGUCUGUGCAGCAGCUGUUAUGAUUAAGCAGCAUUGGCUUCCGACUCCUUUUGGUGCAGUAGAAUAAGCUAUCCUAUUGCUUCCUUGCUGUGCUGCCCCAAGAGGGAUUUGUACAUCAUCUGCCUGACACAGAAGCAUUCCAGGAUUGUUAGCAUAAUGCUGGGACCUAUCGCAAGAGGUUGAUAUCCAGGUGACUUACCAGAUUCGGAAACUGGGAACAACCCAACUCAACAGCCAUUUUUAAGUCUCCUUUUAAAAGCUGGUUUAUCUCCUUUCUGGCUAUGGGAAGCAGCUCAUCUCAUCUAAUCUAUGCAAUGGAAAUGCCUAGGAGAGGAGGUUCCUUACAUACCCCAUGUGUGGAAAGAAAAACCAGCUUUCCUGCUGAUAGGCACAACUAAGUUUAUAGCAACAGACCUGGAAAAUGCCCAAAGAAGCCUGAAUGGGCACUCCAUAACAAUAGAUAUAUGGUUAGCCCCACAAUGAUUAUCUUUUAAUGCAGUAGACUUCAAUAGGAACCUAGAAGGAGAAACUUCCACUUUGGGAAUUGUUGGCCAUAAAACUAGAUGGAAAUGGACUUGGGUAGCCUUCAUCAACCAUGAUGCCUGCUUUUUUUCUCAUGCCUUUCGUGUGGACCACUGCAGAUGCUGACAAGACCAAUCAGCAUUUCAACUACAAGCGCACCAUAUAUUGUAUUCCACCUCCAGUGAAUACAGUCAACUUAUCUAUGCAGUGGACUGGGCGUAGCACUUGUGAGGUUUGGAUAAUGGGGAUGAAUGUAAUCCUUAUUUACAUUUACAUUUUUUUCUGAAAGAGUUUCCCGCUCCAUAGAACAGAGGGACCAGACAUAGAACAUGGUAAACGUGACAUAGAACAUGUUAAACUAAAUAGUCGAUGUUACACCACGAUCACCUAUUGAGUUAGAAGGAUACACAACCAAUGGAGUGAAUCCCUUUGUUGAGAGUUCCUGAAUAUAUCACGACCCUGUCUUGCUUGAUGCAUCUUAUUGCUCACUCACAAGAAUGAUUCAUGAAGAUGUAAAUGUCUGGAUGUUUACUCUUUUUUUUCCUGAUAUGGGUGACACUUAUUAUGUGUAUCGCAAGUCUCCCCACAUCACAAGCAAUUGGGUUGAUUUUAAAGUCUGCUCUGAUACAAGGCAGACAAACUCUGAAGGAUAGUUCAUCUUAGAUGUGUGGGCCUGCAGUUUAUAAAGUGUUACUUCAUACAUGGUAUGGUGUGUGUACUCUGGGGACUUUUAUUUCCAGGAUUACGGGUAUAUGCAUAUACAUAUGCAUAUGCUCAGCUUUUAGGAUGACAUCCCAACUUCCAUUAUUGCAUUAAGGGAAAUACCUCUUCCAUUCUGUGUUGUGUUGGUAUUUGCCUAGUUUAGGGUUGCUGAAUUAGCACUUGUCCUUCUCCAUAUUUCUGCAUCAUUUCAAAUCUAUCACCAUGUUAUAGCCAGUGCCACUAGGAUUCAAUUGCAUUCAAUGCAUUAGGAUUUAAUGCACUAGGAUUUAAAUGCAUUUAAUUGCAUUAAAUGGAAAUACCCCUUUCAUUCUGUGUUGUGUUGGUAUUUGCCUAGUUUAGGGUUGCUGAAUUAGCACUUGUCCUUCUCGAUAUUUCUGCAUCAUUUCAAAUCUAUUCCCAUGUUAUAGCCAGUGCCACUAGGAUUUCAUUGCAUUAAAUGCUUAAGGAUUUAAUGCACUAGGAUUUAAAUGCAUUUAAUUGCAUUAAAUGGAAACACCCCUUCCAUUCUGUGUUGUGUUGGUAUUUGCCUAGUUUAGGGUUGCUGAAUUAGCACUUGUCCUUCUCCAUAUUUCUGCAUCAUUCCAAAUCUAUCCCCAUGUUAUAGCCAGUGCCACUAGAAGACUACAAACUGAAGUUUAGUUCCAUACCCCAUGUGUGGAAAGAAAACCCAGUUGGGCGGAUAGGCACAACUAAGUGUUAUAGGAACAGACCUGGAAAAUGUCCAAAGAAUGGGCACUCCAUAACAAUAGAUAUAUGGUUAGCCCCACAAUGAUUAUCUUUUAAUCCAGUAAACUUCAAUGGGAACCUAUAUGGAGAAAUUUCCCCUUUGGGAAUAGUUGGCCAUAACACUGAAAAGUAUAUGGAAAUGGACUAGUAGCCUUCAUCAACCACAACGCCUACUUUUUUUUCCUCAUGCCUUUCUUGUGGAUCACCACGGAUGCUGAAAAGACCGAUCAGCAUUUUAACUACAUGUUUACCAUCGCCGCACUGCCAUGUAUGUAUUCAACCUCCAGUGAAUACUUGCAGAAAACUGAGGGUGAGUUGCAUGGCCAGAAAAAUGGCUGUGGGUGCCACUUCUGGAACACAUGCCAUAGGUUCGCAUCACGGACCUAUUGAGUUAGAAGGAUACACAUCCUAUGGAGUGCCUCCCUUUUUUGAGAGUUCCUUAAUAUUUAACGACCCUGCCUUUCUUCAUGCAUCUUAUUGCUCACUCACUGGAAUGACUUACGAAGAUGUAAAUGUCUGGAUGUUUACUCUUUUUUUCUUGAUAUGGGUGACACUUACUAUGUGUACUGCAAGUCUCCCCAGAUCACAAGCAAUUGGGUUGAUUUUUAAAGUCUGCUACGCUGCAAGGCAGACAAACUCUGAAGGAUAGUUCAUCUUAGAUGUGUGGGCCUGCUGUUUAUAAAGUGUUACUUCAUACAUGGUAUGGUAUCUGUACUCUCGAGUUUUUCCCCUUGUAUUUUCAUUGAUGUGUUAACUGUAAGAGGGACUGAAAGUCGAUGAUCUGGGUUCCCACUUUGAAUGAGAGAAA